GACGAACGCUGGCGGCGUGCUUAACACAUGCAAGUCGAACGGAAAGGCCCUGCUUUUGUGGGGUGCUCGAGUGGCGAACGGGUGAGUAACACGUGAGUAACCUGCCCUUGACUUUGGGAUAACUUCAGGAAACUGGGGCUAAUACCGGAUAGGAGCUCCUGCUGCAUGGUGGGGGUUGGAAAGUUUCGGCGGUUGGGGAUGGACUCGCGGCUUAUCAGCUUGUUGGUGGGGUAGUGGCUUACCAAGGCUUUGACGGGUAGCCGGCCUGAGAGGGUGACCGGCCACAUUGGGACUGAGAGACGGCACAGACUCCUACGGGAGGCAGCAGUGGGGAAUAUUGCACAAGGGGCGGAAGCCUGAUGCAGCAACGCCGCGUGCGGGAUGACGGCCUUCGGGUUGUAAACCGCUUUCGCCUGUGACGAAGCGUGAGUGACGGUAAUGGGUAAAGAAGCCCUGGCUAACUACGUG
Molecule: ribosomal RNA, 468 nt
Filed under: uncultured bacterium
Lineage: Bacteria
Description: partial 16S ribosomal RNA
Rfam family: Bacterial small subunit ribosomal RNA
Source: RNAcentral